UACGUAGGGUGCGAGCGUUAAUCGGAAUUACUGGGCGUAAAGCGUGCGCAGGCGGUUUUGUAAGUCAGAUGUGAAAUCCCCGAGCUCAACUUGGGAACUGCGAUUGAAACUACAAGACUAGAAUAUGUCAGAGGGGGGUAGAAUUCCACGUGUAGCAGUGAAAUGCGUAUAGAUGCGGAGAAAUAUAAUGUCGAAGGCAUCCCCCUGGGAUAAUAUUGACGCUCAUGCACGAAAGCGUGGGGAGCAAACAGG
Molecule: ribosomal RNA, 252 nt
Filed under: uncultured bacterium
Lineage: Bacteria
Description: partial 16S ribosomal RNA
Rfam family: Bacterial small subunit ribosomal RNA
Source: RNAcentral